Molecule: ribosomal RNA, 402 nt
Filed under: uncultured bacterium
Lineage: Bacteria
Description: bacterial SSU rRNA
Rfam family: Bacterial small subunit ribosomal RNA
Source: RNAcentral
UGGGGAAUAUUGCACAAUGGGCGAAAGCCUGAUGCAGCAACGCCGCGUGAGUGAUGAAGGCCUUCGGGUUGUAAAGCUCUGUCUUCUGGGACGAUAAUGACGGUACCAGAGGAGGAAGCCACGGCUAACUACGUGCCAGCAGCCGCGGUAAUACGUAGGUGGCAAGCGUUGUCCGGAUUUACUGGGCGUAAAGGAUGCGUAGGCGGAUACUUAAGUCAGAUGUGAAAAUCCCGGGCUUAACUUGGGAACUGCAUUUGAAACUGGGUAUCUAGAGAGCGGGAGAGGAAAGUGGAAUUCCUAGUGGAGCGGUGAAAUGCGUAGAUAUUAGGAAGAACACCAGUGGCGAAGGCGACUUUCUGGACCGUAACUGACGCUGAGGCAUGAAAGCGUGGGGAGCAAACA